AGGCACCGGCGACAUUCCAACUCGGGGUCUCCUGUUUAUUAGACAGGCGCUUUAACCAACUAAGCCACGGUGCC
This 74-nucleotide transfer RNA is filed under the name Araneus ventricosus. RNAcentral describes it as "tRNA-Ile". Lineage: Eukaryota; Metazoa; Arthropoda; Arachnida; Araneae; Araneidae. The record is from RNAcentral.